Molecule: unclassified non-coding RNA, 584 nt
Filed under: Hevea brasiliensis (rubber tree)
Lineage: Eukaryota; Viridiplantae; Streptophyta; Magnoliopsida; Malpighiales; Euphorbiaceae
Source: RNAcentral
AGUUUGGAGGAGCUCUAUAAAGGAUCUAGAAAGAAAAUGAGGAUUUCGCAUUCUGUUCUUGUUGAUUUGGAGUCAGAAAGAGAGGUGAUAGAGUGGUAGACAGGGGUAGGGUUUUUAUUUGAGGGUUUAAAAGUCAUUUUAAGUUUUUUUUUUUUUUAAUGAUGCAAAAUAUGGUAAAGUAACUAGGAAAUUGGCUAUAAUAGGUCACAAGGAGUUUUUCAUUCAUUAAAUUAAAGUGUAGGGAGUUUUACAAAUUGAAGUUUAGGGACCAUAUUGAUGCAACGCCCUAAGUUCAAGCCUUCAGGGACAAUGGUGAAAUUCACCAGUUAUAUGCGCGUGUGCGCAUCCGCACUUAUAUAUGUGUUGUUUGCUUAUUAUUUUACAAGUAUACUUUAUUUUUUCUAGCCAUUUGCUUCUGAUCAUUUCAAUGCCAUAAACCAUCUUAUGUUGUCAUUAAAGGUUUCUGGUUGCACUAUUGCAACAUAUAUGAAAACUUUGGUUCAAUUAUCAUUGCAUUAAUAUUUAUUGCAAUGUCUGUUUUACUUCCAGGCUUUGAUGAUACAAGUAUAUCUUUUGGACCUGUG